RNAcentral lists this long non-coding RNA (7602 nucleotides) under Homo sapiens (human). RNAcentral describes it as "HSALNT0397671". The record is from RNAcentral. Lineage: Eukaryota; Metazoa; Chordata; Mammalia; Primates; Hominidae.
CAUUAUCAUGGGUUUGCAACAUUAGCAUACGCUGGCUGUCCCGCAGGACGGUGGGGACUGGAAAAUCAGUCCAGGGUCUGGGUUUGAGUCCUAAGAGGACAGGCCUGGCGGCGCCACACGGCUCCUCUUCAACAGCUGCCGGAGCUGUAGACAAGGCAAAGGAGGGAGAGAAGUCUGUCAGGUUGGAAGGAGAGGUGGGGAAGGCACGCCAUGCAGAGGGAGGGGCUAGAGAAGAGAGGUUGAGUGGGUCCCUUUGGAUUUGAAGAUCAGAGGUCCAGAGUCAAGAUUUUGGAAGAGCCAGGUGCAGUGGCUCACGCCUGUAAUCCCAGCACUUUGUGGGGCUAAGGUGGGCAAAUCACCUGAGGUCAGGAGUUCAAGACCAGCCCAGCCAACAUGGCGAAACCCCGCCUCUACCAGAGAUACAAAAAUUAGCCGGGCAUGGUGGCACGUGUGCCUUUAGUCCCAGCUUGGGAGGCUGAGGUGGGAGAAUCACUUGAACCUGGGAGGUGGAGCUUGCGGUGAGCUAAAAUUGCACCACUGCACUCCAGCCUGGGUGACAAAGCAAGACUCCGCCUCCAAAAAAAAAAAAAAGAUUUGGGAAGGAGGCCGGGAGUGAUGGUUCCUGUGAUCCCAACACUUUGGGAGGCCAAGGCGGGAGGAUCAAUUGAGGCCAGGAGUUUGAGAUCAACCUGGACAACAUAGUGUGACCCCAUCUCUUAAAAAAAAAAAAAAACAAAAUUAGCUGGGUGUGGUGGUGACUGCCUGUAGUACCAGCUACUGGAGAGGCUGAGGUGGGAGGAUCCCUUGAGCCCAGGAGCUCGAGGCUGCAGUGAGCUAUGAUCAUGCCACUGCACUCCAGCCUAGGCAACAGAGCAAGACGCUGCCUCAAAAUAAAUAAAUAAACAAACAAACAAAUAAAAAUAAAGAUGUGGGAAGAAGGUCAAGGCCUGGGUUCGUACACUGAGAAAGGGUCAGGAAGCAGAACUUCAGUGAAGGGAAAGGGGCUGCUGGCUGGGGGUUCCCACCUGGGGGUGAGGAAUGAGAGGGAAUUGAAGGGAACAGGUAAGAGGUCAAAGGUCACAUCUGAGGUCAGGACCCAAGGUUAGGGGCAGGGGGUAGGAGGUCACACUUGGGGGGAUCAAAGGUCACACCUUGAGGUCAAGCAAGAUUCAGGGUUGGAAGUACAGGUCACACUGUGAGGUCAGGGUUGGGGUAGAGAUCAGAGAAGUCACCAUUCUGGGGUAAAGGAUGAAACACUGAGGUCAGAGGUCACAUUAUAGAGUCAGGGUUGCCUGAGGGCUGAAGUCACCUUCCGAGAUUAGAAGUCAUUCUCUGAAAGCGAGCAUUGGGUGGGGCAGGGAGGUCAUCCCGCGCCCGCGAGCUCAGAGGCCACUCUACAGGCAGGCUCAGUGCUUACUUACCCCCUCAGGGCCCGGCCCGGGCCGCAGCAGGUGAACGGGCUGCUCAUUCUCCAGGUUGCGCAGUGUGGGGUCCGCCCCAGCUGCCAACAGGUGCCGCACGAUGGCCUCCUGGGCCGGCCCAGGGGGCAGGGCAGCCGCCAUGUGGAGGGCUGUGUUCCCGUGGGCCUGGAAAAGUAAGGGGAGGGCUGGUGGGGAUCUGGGCUCAGCUGGCCCAGGCCUCUAAACUGCACUUCAAUUUCUGCCUUGUCUACGUCCUACACUUGUCCUUUCACAUCCCAGACCUCCCCCGGCCACAGCCACGCUGCAUGCAUCCCUGUGUCCACGGACUACAUGUUCUGGGGCAAUCUGUGUCUGCUUCCUAUACUUUCCCCUGCAGAUCCCACACAUCGUCCCCUCCACGUCCACAGCCCCCAGGACCCCUAACAUCCCACUGCCCCCCCUACCGUACCCCACACAAUCUGCACUUCCCAGCCCCAGCUCCCACCUUCAUGUUGACAAAGGUCCGCAGGUCUCCCCGGGGCAGCUCCAGCAGCAGCUGAACCAGAGUGGGGUUGGCAGCCUGCACGGCCAAGUGCAGAACUGUCUUGUUGCUCUUGAUCUCCUGAGGGGAAGGGAAUGGCAGAGGUCAGGGCCAGCCUCACACCUAGGUGCCCUCCCACAGAAUCCAGGAGUCUUUAAAGACCCUGACCCUUGGCGGAGUGCGGUGGUUCACGCCUGUAAUCCUAGCACUUUGGGAAGCUGAAGAAGGAGGAUCACUUGAGGCCAGGAGCUGCAGACCAGCCUGGACAACACAGCAAGACCUCAUCUCUACAAAAAAUAGAAAAAUUAGCCAGGCGUGGUGGUGCGCACCUGUAGUCCCAGCUGCUUGGGAGGCUGAGGCAGGAGGUUCAUUUGAGCCUAGGAGUUCACGGCUGCAGUGGGCCAUGACCACACCACUGCACUCCAGCAUGGGUGACAGAGUGACACUCUAUCUCAAAAUUAAUAAAUAAAUAAAUAAGAUGCUGGCCCUCUUCUGCGAGCCCCACCAAGAGUGCCUUAUUCAGUUGUAUGUCUUGUGCACCGCACAACACCACGUCUCAGGGUGUACCAUUCACACCAUACACCUUCCAGAACUGUACAUUUCUCAUGACAAUUUUCCCACCAGUGUCUGAGAAAGAGACUCCUUUUCCAGUUCUUCAAAGCAACUGCCUUGGCUACCUGCCCUCCAUUCAACACAUUAAAUUGCAUCCCGACCCACACAGACUGUACUUUAUCUACAAGCACAGGAGUUGGCAGCAUUAAUCAGUGGACUAGCUAAUAUUGCAAUACUGCACCACAAUAUUGAGCUGUUCCCAUCAUAUUUGGGGGAAAAUAAAAGACAUUUUCUAAAAUGAAACCUUUUUAUGUGUCUUUAAGGAGUUUGUAACGAUAAUGAAUGUUAAACAUUUUAUGUGCUGAUAACAGGGCAAAACCACCUAGUUUGCUCGUCCAAAAAAUGAUGAAGACAAAACCAAAGCUCUAGAUUAAGAGUGAUUUGAAAAGACGUAACAUCAUAAUAUGUGUGCUUAUUUGGAUCUUGAUUUUUUUUAAUGAAAAAAAUUAUCAUUUUACAGCCAAAAGGAAAUUUGAAUACAGCCAGGAUAUUUGGUAUUACAAGAAAAUCUUUAAUUUUUUAAAGACAGAGCAAUGAUACUGAGGUUUAAAAAGUUCUUUUUUUUCGAAGGGCACAGGGGCUCAUGCCUGUAAUCCCAGCACUUUGGGAGGCCAAGGAGGGCGGAUCACUUGAGGUCAAGAGUUCGAGACCAGCCUGGCCAACAUGGUGAAACCGUCUCUACUAAAAAUACAAAAAUUAGCCAGGCGUGGUGGCACAUGCCUAUAAUCCCAGCUACUUGGGAGGCUGAGACACAGGAAUAGCUUGAACCCGGGAGGCAGAGGUUGCAGUGAGCCAAAAUCACACCAUUGCAAUCCAGCCUGGGCAACAGAGUGAGACUCCGUCUCAAAAAAAAAAAGCUAUGUUUUUUGUUUGUUUUUUGAGACAGGGUCUCGCUCUGUUGCCCAGGCUGGAGUGCAGUGGUGUGACCAAGGCUCACUGUAGCCUCAACCUACUGGGCUCGAGUGAUCCUCCCACCUUAGCCUCCCCAAGCACUGGGAUUACAGGGAAAGAGUUCUUAUCUUUUAUUAUUGUUGUUGUUGUUGUUGAGAGACAGGGUCUUGCUCUGUCACCCAGGCUGGAGUGUGGUGGCAAAAUCAUGGCUCACUGCAGCCUUGACCUCCCCAGGUUCAGGUGAUCCUCCCACCUCAGCCUCCUGAGUACCUGGGACCACAGGCAUGUGCCAUCAAGCCCAGCUAAUUUUUGUAUUUUUUUUAGAGAUGGGGUCUCCCUAUGUUGCCCAGGUUGGUCUCGAAUUCCUGAGCUCGAGCAGUCCGCCCACCUGAGCCUCCCAAAGUGCUUGGAUUACAGGCAUGAGCCACCGCACCCAGCCAUCUUUCUUAUUUUUAAAAAACUUAUUAUUAUUACUAAAAAUACAAAAAUUAGUGGGGUGUGAUAGCACAUGCCUAUAGUCCCAGCUACUCGGGAGGCUGAGGCAGGAGAAUCACUUGAACCUGGGAGGUUGCAGUGAACCAAGACUGUGCCACUGCACUCCAACCUGGGCGACAGAGCGAGACUCCAUCUCAAAAAAAAAAAAAAAAUUAUUUGUCCUUUUUUCAGAGAAAUACUCCCUGAUUUCUGAGUUCUCCCAGAACCCUACCACACAGUUAAUUCUUCCUCUUCAUCAUUUCUUGCUCAACUUAAAUGUAAUUUCCUCAGAAUGACCUUCAUUGUGAGCCCCGCAUCCAAUAUAAAGCCAAUCUUUUUAUUGUCUAAGAGCUCCUUCUACAUUCCCAAGGCAGCUCUCAUCCCAAUUUGUAAUUAUGUUCAGUUCUUUGUUUACUUAUCAUCUCCUCUCUUUUCCAUUAAAUUUUAAUGUCUAAAAGUACAAGAAAGUGGUCUUUUCUUAUUAAAACAUUAUAGGUAGCUGGGCACAGCAGCUCACGCCUGUAAUCCCAGCACUUGGGAGGCCAAGGCUGGGGGAUCACUUGGGCCCAGGAGUUCGAGACCAGCCUGGGCAACAUAGUGAGACCCCCCCUCUCUACAAAAAAUAUAAAACAAUUAGCCGGGUGAGGUGGCUCAUGCCUGUAGUCCCAGCUACUUAGGAGGCUGAGGUGGAAGGAAUGUUUGAGGUCAGGAAGUCGAGGCUGCAGUGAUUCGUGAUCGCACCACAGCACUCCAGCCUGGGUGACAAAGCCAGACUCUGUCUCUAAAAAACAAACAAACAAAAAGCAACUUUAUGCCCCAUCACUAGCACACUGGUAGCUACAUCAUAUGUGUCCAAAAUUCUGAGUGAAGAAACGAAUGAAUUACCAAAGUAUCAAUUUCACCUUCUCUGUAUUGCCCAAAUGAUCACUUAGCUCUACUUUGCAACCAUUAAGAGCCUAGAUUACCAUCAUUCAUUUCCUAACCCCGCUAAUAAUGCCUUAUCUUGUCUCUACUCAGUCAUGCCCGUCCUUCUUACAGUCCAUCCCCACCAUCUAGCUAAUUCUGCUAAACACCAUUAUUCUUUAAAGAUACACAAAUAUUUUUGAAAAAAAUACAUGUUGGAAUUUGCUUAAAAAUCACAUGAAAGUGAGAGGCCACGCACAGUGGCUCACGCCUGUAAUCCCAGCACUUUGGGAGGCCGAGGCGGGUGGAUCACGAGGUCAGGAGAUCGAGACCAUCCUGGCUAACACGGUGAAACUGCGUCUCUACUAAAAAUGCAAAAAUUUAGCCGGGCGUGGUGGCGGGUGCCUAUAGUCCCAGCUACUCAGGAGGCUGAGGCAGGAGAAUGGUGUGAACCCGGGAGGCGGAGCUUACAGUGAGCCGAGAUCGCACCACUGCACUCCAGCCUGGGUGACAGAGCGAGAGCCAUCUCAAAAAAAAAAAAAAAAUCACUUGAAAGUGAGAGAGUGGAUGGGGCAGGACUGGCCAUGAGUGGCUGGUUAUUGAUGUUGGACAUAUGGAGUUCAUUCCACUAUUUUCUAUAUUUUAUUGGUGUUCAACAUUCUUUAACUAAAAAAACAUUUUUCGGCUGGGCGCAGUGGCUUAUGCCUGUAAUCCCAGCACUUUGGGAGGCCAAGGCGGGCGGCUCACCUGAGGUCAGGAGUUUGAGAGAACAGCCUGGCCAACAUAGGGAAACCCCGUCUCCAUUAAAAAUACAAAAAAAUUAGCCAAGCGUGGUGGUGCAUGCCUGUAGUCCCAGUUACUCAGGAGGCUGAGGCAGGAGCAUGGCUUGAACCCGGGAGGCAGAGGUUGCAGUAAGCCGAGAUCAUGCCACUGCACUCCAGCCUGGGUGACAGAGUGAGAUUCCAUCUCAAUAAAUAAAUAAACAUUUUUUGUGGAUGUUUAAUUCUCUCAGCCAGCCUAUGAAGGAGCUACUGUCACAGGAAAGGAACAGAACAUAAUUAAAAGCUAGGUUCUAAAGUCAGACUACCUGGGUUCUAAUUCUCUCUCUGACAGUCACAAGCUAUAAGAUUUUUCAGGCUGGGUGCAGUGGCUCACAACUGUAAUCCCAGCACUUUCAGAGGCAGAGGUGGAAGGAUUGCUUGAGCUCAGGAGUUUGAGACCAACCUGGCCAACAUAGUUAGACCCCACCUUACAAAAAAGUUGCCACGCAUGGUGGUGCAUGCCUGUGAUCACAGCUACUUGGGAGGCUGAGGUGGGAGGAUCACUUAAGUGCACAAGGUCAAGGCUGCAAUAAGCUGUGAUCAUGCCACUGCACUCCAGCCUGAGUGACAGAGUGAGACCCUGUCUCAAAGAGAUUUUUGAGGCCAGGUGCAGUGGCUCACGCUUGCAAUCCCAGCAUUUUGGGAAGCCGAGGCAGGAAGAUCACCUGAGGUCGGGAGUUCGAGACCAGCCUGACCAACAUGGAGAAACCCUGUCUCUACUAAAAAUACAAAAUUAGCUGGACGUGGUGGUGGGAACCUGUAAUCCCAGUUACUCGGGAGGCUGAGGCAGGAGAAUCGCUUGAACCCAGGAGGCGGAGGUUGUGGUGAGCCGAGAUCACACCAUUGCACUCCAGCCUGGGCAACAAGAGCAAAACUCCAUCUCAAAAAGAAAAAAAAAAAGAUUUUUGAUUUCCCAUGCCUGUUUCCUUUUCAGUAAAAUAGAGAAAAUAGAGUACACAUGUCAAAGGGUGUUUGUGAGGUUUCAAUAAGCUAAUCUAUGAAACUCAGUGCUUGAUGAAUGAAUAGUAAGUGCUUGAUAACAUACCCUAAGGUCAGUAAUAUUAUUCCCAGUUAACAACUAGGGGCCAGGCACAGUGGCUCACGCCUGUAAUCGCAGCACUUUGGGAGGCCAAGGUGGGAGGAUCAUUUGAGGUCAGGAGUUUGAGACCAGCCUGGCCAACACAAUGAAAGCCCACUUCUACUAAAAUACAAAAAAAAAAAAAAAAAAAUAGCCAGGCAUGGUGGCGUGCGCCUAUAGUCCCAGCUACUCAGGAGGCUAAGACAGGAGAAUCACUUGAACCUGGGAGGCAGAGUUUGCCAUGAGAUGAGAUUGCACCACUGCACUCUAGCCUGGGCGACAGAGUGAGACCCUGUCUCAAAAACAAAAAAACAAACAAACAAAAAAACCCUGCUGGGCGCGGUGGCUCACGCCUGUAAUCACAGCACUUUGGGAGGCCAAGGCAGGUGGAUCACCUGAGGUCGGGAGUUCGAGACCAGCAAGACCAAUGUGGAGAAAGCCUGUCUCUACUAAAAAUACAAAAAAAUUAGCCAGGCGUGGUGACUCAUGCCUGUAAUCCCAGCUACUCAGGAGGCUGAGGCAGGAGAAUCACUUGAACCCGGGAUGCAGAGGUUGCGGUGAGCCAAGAUCACACCAUUGCACUCCAGCCAGGGCAACAAGAGCAAAACUCCAUCUCAAAACAAACAAAGAAACAAACAAAAAACCCCUAAGGCACAGAGAAGUGAAGUAACAUGUUCAAGGGCACGCAGCAAGGAAGAGGCAAAGUCAGCAUUUGCCUGGAGCUCCCGGACAUCCAAGUGGCCCCAUUCCACACAAUCUCCCAGGGUCUGACCGCCCACAUCCCCGCUCACCUGGCUGGUGUGAUUAGCACCCAUUUGCAGCAACAUGUGGACACAAUCCAGCCUGUCUCGGGCCUGUGUGCUCAGCACCCGGGGACAGAGG